This 383-nucleotide ribosomal RNA is filed under the name uncultured bacterium. RNAcentral's name for it is "bacterial SSU rRNA". It matches the Rfam family "Bacterial small subunit ribosomal RNA", at positions 29 to 412 of the family's 1533-position model. The record is from RNAcentral.
AUUAAACGCUGGCGGCAUGCCUUACACAUGCAAGUCGAACGGCAGCACGGGGGCAACCCUGGUGGCGAGUGGCGGACGGGUGAGUAAAGCAUCGGAACGUAUCCUGGAGUGGGGGAGUAACGUAGCGAAAGUUACGCUAAUACCGCAUAUUCUGUGAGCAGGAAAGCAGGGGAUCGCAAGACCUUGCGCUCUGGGAGCGGCCGAUGUCGGAUUAGCUAGUUGGUGGGGUAAAGGCCUACCAAGGCGACGAUCCGUAGCGGGUCUGAGAGGAUGAUCCGCCACACUGGGACUGAGACACGGCCCAGACUCCUACGGGAGGCAGCAGUGGGGAAUUUUGGACAAUGGGCGAAAGCCUGAUCCAGCCAUGCCGCGUGUCUGAAGAA